Molecule: ribosomal RNA, 468 nt
Filed under: uncultured bacterium
Lineage: Bacteria
Description: partial 16S ribosomal RNA
Rfam family: Bacterial small subunit ribosomal RNA
Source: RNAcentral
GACGAACGCUGGCGGCGUGCUUAACACAUGCAAGUCGAACGGAAAGGCCCUGCUUUUGUGGGGUGCUCGAGUGGCGAACGGGUGAGUAACACGUGAGUAACCUGCCCUUGACUUUGGGAUAACUUCAGGAAACUGGGGCUAAUACCGGAUAGGAGCUCCUGCUGCAUGGUGGGGGUUGGAAAGUUUCGGCGGUUGGGGAUGUACUCGCGGCUUAUCAGCUUGUUGGUGGGGUAGUGGCUUACCAAGGCUUUGACGGGUAGCCGGCCUGGGAGGGUGACCGGCCACAUUGGGACUGAGAUACGGCCCAGACUCCUACGGGAGGCAGCAGUGGGGAAUAUUGCACAAUGGGCGGAAGCCUGAUGCAGCAACGCCGCGUGCGGGAUGACGGCCUUCGGGUUGUAAACCGCUUUCGCCUGUGACGAAGCGUGAGUGACGGUAAUGGGUAAAGAAGCACCGGCUAACUACGUG